UACGGAAGGCAGCAGUGGGGAAUAUUGCACAAUGGGCGAAAGCCUGAUGCAGCUAUGCCGCGUGUAUGAAGAAGGCCUUAGGGUUGUAAAGUACUUUCAUCGGGGAGGAAAAAACAAAACUAAUAAUUUUAUUUCUUGACGUUACCCGAAAAAGAAGCACCGGCUAACUCCGUGCCAGCAGCCGCGGUAAUACGGAGGGUGCUAGCGUUAAUCAGAAUUACUGGGCGUAAAGAGCACGUAGGUGGUUUUUUUAAGUCAGAUGUGAAAUCCCUGGGCUUAACCUAGGAACUGCAUUUUGAAACUGAAAUACUAGAGUAUCGUAGAGGGAGGUAGAAUUCUAGGUGUAGCGGUGAAAUGCGUAGAUAUCUGGAGGAAUACCUGUGGCGAAAGCGACCUCCUAAACGAAUACUGACACUGAGGUGCGAAAGCGUGGGGAGCAAACAGGGAUUAGAUAC
Molecule: ribosomal RNA, 455 nt
Filed under: uncultured bacterium
Lineage: Bacteria
Description: bacterial SSU rRNA
Rfam family: Bacterial small subunit ribosomal RNA
Source: RNAcentral